Molecule: long non-coding RNA, 1095 nt
Organism: Hylaeus volcanicus
Lineage: Eukaryota; Metazoa; Arthropoda; Insecta; Hymenoptera; Colletidae
Exons: 4
Source: RefSeq, a predicted model, not a curated record
CGAUACAUGUGACCGCUGCACAGACCGGAGCUAUCAGUACGUUCUGUUACUGCGUGAGGUUUAGACGUGCGAGGAAACGUUUCGGAGCAGUAUCUGUUCGAUUAAACAAUCGCGACAGAUUGUCCGUUGAUACAAAUCUCCGGAGAACAAUAUUUCCGGUGAAGUCUCAAUUGGUCGCGGUUACCGCAAACGGAAGGAAGCAAAGAAUGGGAAGCUACGACGAAAUGCGAACAAUUCGUUGAAUGCGAACGUACUCUGAUCGUCCAGGAUACCGACGUCGGUGCUGACGUUGACGACGCUGUCCUGUCGUUUCAGGAAGUGAAACGCGAGAAACAACAUUGUCGGCGGAGUCAAGUUAUUGGAAACUUUUCCAACAAGGGACAAACGCUGCAGCGUGAACGCUACAGUGAUAGCGACACCGGUACCACGGGGUGGACUGAAGUGGUUACGAACGCCGAUCAAGCUCUUAUACCUUGCGUUGGAGCGCAAGCGCUCAUCGAACUCCACCGCCUAGGGAUGGGCUGUUCUUCGAUGAAAAGUCCUGUAACCUAUCUCUGGGUGACGUGGGUCAACGUGUUAAAGAAGAGCCAUGGUAUAAUAGAGAAUAAAUCCUUGGCCCAGGGCAAACCCGUGACAGCGUUACAUUAAACUUCACCUGUAAGAAAUAACCCACGAGAAACGUCCCUAACGCUGCUGAAGGCGAGUUGAACGAGGUUUGGAGUACCCGUCCUCGAUGGCUUGUAUAACGACGAGAGGGCUAGUUAUUACAAUCAUCGCGCCCCUGUUUGAGUAGCGCUGGGAAAAGGAUAACACAGUUCAGCGGUCCUCUCAGACCUAAGAGGUUAUAGGCUUUAAGGUCUCGGUACUCUAGUGUGCUACGUGCGGAACUUAGUCACUAAUUGCUACAAUACAUACUCGUAUGAUCGUCACAUAAUUGCCGUACGAUGAGGGUCUCGAUAUUGGACAUUCUACCUUUAGGCUUCAUCUAUUCGCUUGCUUAUUAAAACAGUCGACGUGCGCACUCUUACUGUAACUAUUGAGUUGUUUGCAAUGUAAUUUUAUUCUUUGUUCGUAAAAAUAAAAUAGUUUCUUCAU